GAAUUGAGGGCGAUUUGGCUGCAACAUCUGUCACCCCAUUGAUCGCCAGGGUUGAUUCAGCUAAUCUGGCUGGCUAGGCGGGUGUUCCCUCCCUCCACGUGCAUCCUUCCCAAAGCUGCGCACUCGGUGGAAGUGGAAGACGUCCCAGGUAUAGAAGGAGUGUAUCGAGCUCUCCAAUCUUCGGUCCUGGGUAUACAAUAGCUGCGCUCUCCUGCUAGAACCUCCAAACAAGCCGUAUGACUUCUAUGCAGUAAUAGUAAUAAUACUAAACUUAAUUUGCUACCUGUCUUCCCUCUUGGCUCAAGGCAGGGCACAACA
Molecule: small nuclear RNA, 318 nt
Filed under: Anolis carolinensis (green anole)
Lineage: Eukaryota; Metazoa; Chordata; Lepidosauria; Squamata; Anolidae
Description: 7SK RNA
Rfam family: 7SK RNA
About the family: 7SK was discovered as an abundant small nuclear RNA in the mid-70s but a possible function has only recently been suggested. Two independent studies have found that 7SK RNA binds the CDK9/cyclin T complex (known as elongation factor P-TEFb).
Source: Rfam by way of RNAcentral